GAUGAACGCUGGCGGCGUGCCUAAUACAUGCAAGUCGAGCGAACGGACGAGAAGCUUGCUUCUCUGAUGUUAGCGGCGGACGGGUGAGUAACACGUGGAUAACCUACCUAUAAGACUGGGAUAACUUCGGGAAACCGGAGCUAAUACCGGAUAAUAUUUUGAACCGCAUGGUUCAAAAGUGAAAGACGGUCUUGCUGUCACUUAUAGAUGGAUCCGCGCUGCAUUAGCUAGUUGGUAAGGUAACGGCUUACCAAGGCAACGGUGCAUAGCCGACCUGAGAGGGUGAUCGGCCACACUGGAACUGAGACACGGUCCAGACUCCUACGGGAGGCAGCAGUAGGGAAUCUUCCGCAAUGGGCGAAAGCCUGACGGAGCAACGCCGCGUGAGUGAUGAAGGUCUUCGGAUCGUAAAACUCUGUUAUUAGGGAAGAACAUAUGUGUAAGUAACUGUGCACAUCUUGACGGUACCUAAUCAGAAAGCCACGGCUAACUACGUGCCAGCAGCCGCGGUAAUACGUAGGUGGCAAGCGUUAUCCGGAAUUAUUGGGCGUAAAGCGCGCGUAGGCGGUUUUUUAAGUCUGAUGUGAAAGCCCACGGCUCAACCGUGGAGGGUCAUUGGAAACUGGAAAACUUGAGUGCAGAAGAGGAAAGUGGAAUUCCAUGUGUAGCGGUGAAAUGCGCAGAGAUAUGGAGGAACACCAGUGGCGAAGGCGACUUUCUGGUCUGUAACUGACGCUGAUGUGCGAAAGCGUGGGGAUCAAACAGG
This 766-nucleotide ribosomal RNA is filed under the name Staphylococcus aureus. RNAcentral describes it as "bacterial SSU rRNA". It matches the Rfam family "Bacterial small subunit ribosomal RNA", at positions 28 to 776 of the family's 1533-position model. Lineage: Bacteria; Bacillati; Bacillota; Bacilli; Caryophanales; Staphylococcaceae. The record is from RNAcentral.